CACGUAGGGUGCGAGCGUUGUCCGGAAUUAUUGGGCGUAAAGAGCUCGUAGGCGGUGUGUCGCGUCGGCCGUGAAAACUUGCAGCUUAACUGUGGGCGUGCGGUCGAUACGGGCAUCACUGGAGUUCGGCAGGGGAGACUGGAAUUCCUGGUGUAGCGGUGAAAUGCGCAGAUAUCAGGAAGAACACCAAUGGCGAAGGCAGCUCUCUGGGACGGUACUGACGCUGAGACGCGAAAGCGUGGGGAGCGAACAGG
This 254-nucleotide ribosomal RNA is filed under the name uncultured bacterium. RNAcentral describes it as "partial 16S ribosomal RNA". It matches the Rfam family "Bacterial small subunit ribosomal RNA", at positions 524 to 776 of the family's 1533-position model. The record is from RNAcentral.